This is a non-coding RNA of Arachis ipaensis, 1824 nucleotides long. Lineage: Eukaryota; Viridiplantae; Streptophyta; Magnoliopsida; Fabales; Fabaceae. The record is from RefSeq and is a predicted model, not a curated record.
GUCAAACCCAAAAGAAAAAUAAAUAAUAAAAAUAAAAACAAAAAAAAAUCUCUUCUUCAGUUUUGUGGGGGAUGUGUCACAGUGAUGAUAGAUAAACCACAAAAGAGAGACACUUUACUACGUUCAACACACUUUCAUUCACUUGCUGGCUUUUACCGCUGCUACUUGCUAUUCUUGCAACCCUUUCAUUUUUGCUUUAUUAUCUUUCUUCCUCUUUUUCUUUUCUUUUUUUUCUUCUUGUGUUCUUUUACUAUUUCUGUUCCUUUCAUGGAGAUCUUGAGCAACAUGUCACCAACUUUUUUGAUGUUGUUGUUGGUGCAGCUUGGUUAAUUCUGGAUUGGGUUCAACUCAUAGUGAAGGAUUGGAUUGAUUCUCUUCUAGCUAGUUGUUGGUUCUAGCUUCUCUUUUUUUCUUUUGGUGGUGAGGUUGUUAGUUCUAUUAACUAGUUAACUACUACGGUGAAUUGGUGAAGUUGUGCUUUCUUUUAUGGAUCCCAUUGUUGAGUGAUGUGUGUUUUUCUGGGGAUGGAGUACAUUGGCAAGUGGGAGGAAUGUGAAGGCUAUGAGAGGAAUUGAGGGGGGUGGUGGUGGUUGAAAUGAGUUAGGGUUCCAUGUGUGUUUGUGUGAUUACUGAAAACUUUGUCUUCAAAAGGAGGGAAAAGGGUAAAGCUUGAUAUGAAGCUUUCAACAUCAGGGUUGCCUCAGCAGGGACAACAUGAAGGAGGGGAGAAGAAGUGCUUGAAUUCUGAGCUAUGGCAUGCAUGUGCGGGUCCAUUGGUGUCCCUACCAACUGCAGGGACUCGUGUGGUUUACUUCCCUCAGGGUCAUAGUGAGCAGGUUGCUGCCACAACUAACAGAGAAGUUGAUGGCCACAUACCGAAUUACCCGAGCUUGCCUCCCCAGUUGAUUUGCCAACUUCACAAUGUCACGAUGCAUGCAGAUGUUGAAACAGAUGAAGUUUAUGCCCAAAUGACACUGCAGCCGUUGACUCCGCAAGAGCAGAAGGAUACAUUUCUUCCCAUGGAAUUGGGAGUUCCAAGUAAGCAGCCCUCAAAUUAUUUUUGCAAGACCUUAACUGCUAGUGACACCAGCACACAUGGAGGGUUUUCUGUUCCGCGUCGUGCAGCUGAGAAAGUUUUCCCUCCGCUGGAUUUCUCAUUGCAACCGCCUGCACAAGAACUAAUUGCUAGAGAUCUCCAUGAUGUUGAGUGGAAAUUUCGUCAUAUUUUUAGGGGUAAGUUGGAAUUGAGGGGAAGUUAGAAGACCCUCUUAGAUCAGGCUGGCAGCUUGUAUUCGUCGACAGGGAGAAUGAUAUUCUUCUCCUUGGGGACGAUCCGUGGGAAUCAUUUGUCAACAAUGUUUGGUAUAUCAAAAUACUUUCACCUGAAGAUAUUCAAAAGAUGGGAGAUCAAGGCGUAGAAUCUCGCGACAGUGCUCCCGGCCUACCAUCAAUAGGGGAUUACUGAGAUAUUGAAAACUAUCCCUUCAAUUCCCACGGUCAUGACAUAAGUAUCACAUGCUUUGAACACUACUUUUAGACCAGAACUUGCAUAUCUAGAUAUGUUCUGUAUUAUCUAUCUGUUCCACUUUCACCAUCUUUAUUACUUGGAGAGUUGAUAAAAUUUAUGAUAAGAAACUUAGGACAAACUAUUUUUGUUUAAUCAAGAGAAUCUCAGGACAAAGAUUUGUUCUACUAGUUUGUAACUUAUGUACUGAAUGCUAGAAAUGUUAGUAUUAUUAUUAUCACUACUGUACUAUUUGGUAACUCUCUUGCAUGAGCUAAUUUUGUAGAAAGAAAUCUAGAGAAUGCUGAAAGGUUAGGUUA